Molecule: ribosomal RNA, 472 nt
Filed under: uncultured bacterium
Lineage: Bacteria
Description: bacterial SSU rRNA
Rfam family: Bacterial small subunit ribosomal RNA
Source: RNAcentral
ACUCCUACGGGAGGCAGCAGUGGGGAAUAUUGCACAAUGGGCGCAAGCCUGAUGCAGCCAUGCCGCGUGUGUGAAGAAGGCCUUCGGGUUGUAAAGCACUUUCAGUCGUGAGGAAGGUAGUGUAGUUAAUAGCUGCAUUAUUUGACGUUAGCGACAGAAGAAGCACCGGCUAACUCCGUGCCAGCAGCCGCGGUAAUACGGAGGGUGCGAGCGUUAAUCGGAAUUACUGGGCGUAAAGCGCAUGCAGGUGGUUUGUUAAGUCAGAUGUGAAAGCCCGGGGCUCAACCUCGGAAUAGCAUUUGAAACUGGCAGACUAGAGUACUGUAGAGGGGGUAGAAUUUCAGGUGUAGCGGUGAAAUGCGUAGAGAUCUGAAGGAAUACCGGUGGCGAAGGCGGCCCCCUGGACAGAUACUGACACUCAGAUGCGAAAGCGUGGGAGCAAACAGGAUUAGAUACCCCUGGUAGCGACUGA